GUGCUAGUUGACGAUAGUCGGACGGGGGUAAAUAGGAAGUUAGAGUUAUGGAGACAAACCUUGGAAUCGAAAGGGUUUAGGCUUAGUAGAACUAAAACCGAGUACAUGAUGUGCGGUUUCAGUACUACUAGGUGUGAGGAGAAGGAGGUUAGCCUUGAUGGUCGGGUGGUACCUCGGAAGGACACCUUUCGAUAUUUGGGGUCAAUGUUGCAGGAGGAUGGGGGUAUUGAUAAAGAUGUGAACCAUCGAAUCAAAGCCGGAUGGAUGAAGUGGCGCCAAGCUUCUGGCAUUCUCUGUGACAAGAGAGUGCCACAA
Molecule: ribosomal RNA, 315 nt
Filed under: Triticum aestivum (bread wheat)
Lineage: Eukaryota; Viridiplantae; Streptophyta; Magnoliopsida; Poales; Poaceae
Description: partial small subunit ribosomal RNA
Source: RNAcentral